UGGGGAAUUUUGGACAAUGGGCGAAAGCCUGAUCCAGCAAUGCCGCGUGUGUGAAGAAGGCCUUCGGGUUGUAAAGCACUUUUGUCCGGAAAGAAAUCCUUGGCUCUAAUACAGUCGGGGGAUGACGGUACCGGAAGAAUAAGCACCGGCUAACUACGUGCCAGCAGCCGCGGUAAUACGUAGGGUGCAAGCGUUAAUCGGAAUUACUGGGCGUAAAGCGUGCGCAGGCGGUUUGCUAAGACCGAUGUGAAAUCCCCGGGCUCAACCUGGGAACUGCAUUGGUGACUGGCAGGCUAGAGUAUGGCAGAGGGGGUAGAAUUCCACGUGUAGCAGUGAAAUGCGUAGAGAUGUGGAGGAAUACCGAUGGCGAAGGCAGCCCCUGGGCCAAGUACUGACGCUCAUGCACGAAAGCGUGGGGAGCAAAACAGGAUUAGAUACCCUGGUAGUCCACGCCCUAAAACGAUGUCAACUAGUUGUUGGGGAUUCAUUUCCUUAGUAACGUAGCUAACGCGUGAAGUUGACCGCCU
This 527-nucleotide ribosomal RNA is filed under the name uncultured bacterium. RNAcentral describes it as "partial 16S ribosomal RNA". It matches the Rfam family "Bacterial small subunit ribosomal RNA", at positions 355 to 874 of the family's 1533-position model. The record is from RNAcentral.